UACAGAGGGGGCAAGCGUUGUUCGGAAUUAUUGGGCGUAAAGAGCUCGUAGGCGGUUUGUUGCGUCGGCUGUGAAAUCCCGAGGCUCAACCUCGGGUCUGCAGUCGAUACGAGCAAACUAGAGUGUUGCAGGGGAGACUGGAAUUCCUGGUGUAGCGGUGAAAUGCGCAGAUAUCAGGAGGAACACCAGUGGCGAAGGCGGUGCUCUGGGCCGGAACUGACGCUGAGGAGCGAAAGCGUGGGGAGCAAACAGG
Molecule: ribosomal RNA, 253 nt
Filed under: uncultured bacterium
Lineage: Bacteria
Description: partial 16S ribosomal RNA
Rfam family: Bacterial small subunit ribosomal RNA
Source: RNAcentral